AGAGUUUGAUCCUGGCUCAGAGUUAACGCUGGCGGCGUGCCUAACACAUGCAAGUCGAGCGAAGAGUACCAGUGUAUCGGGCUCUUAGCGGCAGACGGGUGAGUAACACGUAAACUAUCUGCCCUCGAAUGGGAGACAACCUGGCGAAAGUCGGGCUAAUACCCCAUACAAUCUUCUCAAAGCAUUUUGAGGGGAUGAAAGGCCCGCAAGGGUCGUUCGAGGAGGAGUUUGCGGCCUAUCAGCUAGUUGGCGGUGUAACGGACCACCAAGGCUAUGACGGGUAGCCGAUCUAAAAGGAUGACCGGCCACAAGGGCACUGAGACACGGGCCCUACUCCUACGGGAGGCAGCAGUGGGGAAUUUUGGACAAUGGACGAAAGUCUGAUCCAGCGACGCCGCGUGAAGGACGAAGGUUUUCGGAUGGUAAACUUCUUUUGCAGGGGACGAAAGCGGGCAACCGUUGACGGUACUCUGCG
This 475-nucleotide ribosomal RNA is filed under the name uncultured bacterium. RNAcentral describes it as "bacterial SSU rRNA". It matches the Rfam family "Bacterial small subunit ribosomal RNA", at positions 8 to 484 of the family's 1533-position model. The record is from RNAcentral.